This 68-nucleotide transfer RNA is filed under the name human gut metagenome. It matches the Rfam family "tRNA". From Rfam's summary of the family: Transfer RNA (tRNA) molecules are approximately 80 nucleotides in length. Their secondary structure includes four short double-helical elements and three loops (D, anti-codon, and T loops). Further hydrogen bonds mediate the characteristic L-shaped molecular structure. tRNAs have two regions of fundamental functional importance: the anti-codon, which is responsible for specific mRNA codon recognition, and the 3' end, to which the tRNAs corresponding amino acid is attached (by aminoacyl-tRNA synthetases). tRNAs cope with the degeneracy of the genetic code in two manners: having more than one tRNA (with a specific anti-codon) for a particular amino acid; and 'wobble' base-pairing, i.e. permitting non-standard base-pairing at the 3rd anti-codon position. The record is from RNAcentral.
GGGUAUAGCUCAGUUGGUAGAGUCGCGGUCUCCAAAACCGUUGGUCGUGGGUUCAAGUCCUUCUGCCC